UGCACUGUUUCUUUAGACUCUGGAAGUGCAACUAUACUAUUUAAUUGAAGCAGACAAGUUUCUUGCGUUAUAAAAAGAUCAAAUAAGUCUCUCUUUGUAACAUGCACAUGUGAAAAAUCAUGACUAAAAUUCUUAUGUUUGUGUAUACUAUGAUCCUCUUUCUUUUUCUAUUUUUCAUUGUAACUAAUGUCGAUGGUAAGGCCUUUUUUCUCAUAAUUUUUUCUUUAUCUUAGUAUAUAAUUUUUCUUCCAAUUUGAAUGACACUCGUUUAUUUUGGUUUGGUUUACUUGACAGCACUUCGCAAACCCUGCAAUAUUGAUGCCGAUUGUCGAAAUUCAAGUUGUACUUUACCUGAUGCUGGGAGGUGUAUGACGGGUCAAUAUUCUGGUCAUUGUUACUGCAUGUAAUAAUAUUAAUGUUACUCUUAUUAUUUUGAGUACAUUUUAGUUUACAGUUUUAGUGCUCUAGUUCUUGUGUUUGUAUUUGGUUAUGUGUGAUUUGAAUUUGUAAUGUCAUUCUUGUUUUCUUGCACCUUGGUUGGUGUUUCUCUCUUUGUAUUAGUUGUGUAACUUCAAGAUUCUCAUUUGAUUUGUAUUUGGAUAACCAUUGAAAUAUUUUUAUUGAUAAGAAGCAUAGGAUCUAUAAGUAAGAUUUAACAUCUUACAAGAUCAAAAGAGUCAUUCAAACUUGUAAGAAAUCUGAUGGAAUAGAUCAAACCAUGUUAAGAUCUAGAUAUCUCUUUUUUCAACUCUAACAG
This 757-nucleotide long non-coding RNA is filed under the name Lathyrus oleraceus (garden pea). RNAcentral's name for it is "Pisum sativum (pea) long non-coding RNA (PSAT_LNC000282)". The record is from RNAcentral. Lineage: Eukaryota; Viridiplantae; Streptophyta; Magnoliopsida; Fabales; Fabaceae.